Molecule: ribosomal RNA, 1672 nt
Filed under: Paenibacillus timonensis
Lineage: Bacteria; Bacillati; Bacillota; Bacilli; Caryophanales; Paenibacillaceae
Description: partial 23S ribosomal RNA
Rfam family: Bacterial large subunit ribosomal RNA
Source: RNAcentral
GAAGGUGUACCGUAAGGAGCGCUGGACAGCAUACAAGUGAGAAUGCCGGUAUGAGUAACGAAAAGAUCAGUGAGAAUCUGAUCCGCCGAAAGCCUAAGGGUUCCUGAGGAAGGUUCGUCCGCUCAGGGUAAGUCGGGACCUAAGGCGAGGCCGAAAGGCGUAGUCGAAGGACAACAGGUUGAAAUUCCUGUACCACCGUAAUCCGUUAUGAGCGAUGGGGUGACGCAGUAGGGUAGUGACGCGAGCUGAUGGAUGCUCGUCCAAGCAGUGAGGCUGGUGUGUAGGCAAAUCCGCACACCGUAAGGCUGGGCUGUGAUGGGGAGGGAAAAUUAUAGUACCGAAGGUCAUGAUCUCACACUGCCAAGAAAAGCCUCUAGCCAGGAGAAGGUGCCCGUACCGCAAACCGACACAGGUAGGCGAGAAGAGAAUUCUAAGGCGCGCGGAAGAACUCUCGUUAAGGAACUCGGCAAAAUGACCCCGUAACUUCGGGAGAAGGGGUGCCCCGGUAGAGUGAAUAGCUCGAGGGGGCCGCAGUGAAAAGGCCCAAGCGACUGUUUAGCAAAAACACAGGUCUGUGCGAAGCCGCAAGGCGAAGUAUACGGGCUGACGCCUGCCCGGUGCUGGAAGGUUAAGGGGAGUGGUUAGGGGUAACCCGAAGCUAUGAACCGAAGCCCCAGUAAACGGCGGCCGUAACUAUAACGGUCCUAAGGUAGCGAAAUUCCUUGUCAGGUAAAUUCUGACCCGCACGAAUGGCGUAACGACUUGGGCGCUGUCUCAACGAGAGAUCCGGUGAAAUUUUAAUACCUGUGAAGAUGCAGGUUACCCGCGACAAGACGGAAAGACCCCAUGGAGCUUUACUGCAGCUUGAUAUUGGACUUUGAUACGAUUUGUACAGGAUAGGUGGGAGCCUAGGAAGCCGGAGCGCCAGCUUCGGUGGAGGCGCCGUUGGGAUACCACCCUGAUCGUAUCGGAGUUCUAACCUGGUACCGUGAUCCGGUACGGGGACAGUGUCAGGUGGGCAGUUUGACUGGGGCGGUCGCCUCCUAAAGAGUAACGGAGGCGCCCCAAGGUUCCCUCAGAAUGGUUGGAAAUCAUUCGAAGAGUGCAAAGGCAAAAGGGAGCUUGACUGCGAGACUGACAAGUCGAGCAGGGACGAAAGUCGGGCUUAGUGAUCCGGUGGUACCGCAUGGAAGGGCCAUCGCUCAACGGAUAAAAGCUACCCUGGGGAUAACAGGCUUAUCUCCCCCAAGAGUCCACAUCGACGGGGAGGUUUGGCACCUCGAUGUCGGCUCAUCGCAUCCUGGGGCUGAAGUAGGUCCCAAGGGUUGGGCUGUUCGCCCAUUAAAGCGGUACGCGAGCUGGGUUCAGAACGUCGUGAGACAGUUCGGUCCCUAUCUGUCGUGGGCGCAGGAAAUUUGAGAGGAGCUGUCCUUAGUACGAGAGGACCGGGAUGGACGCACCGCUGGUGCACCAGUUGUUCCGCCAGGAGCACAGCUGGGUAGCUAAGUGCGGACGGGAUAAGCGCUGAAAGCAUCUAAGCGUGAAGCCCCCCUCAAGAUGAGAUUUCCCAAUUAGUAAGACCCCUUGAAGACGACGAGGUUGAUAGGCCUGAGGUGGAAGUGCAGCAAUGUAUGGAGCUGACAGGUACUAAUCGGUCGAGGGCUUAUCCAAA